GCGUGGGUGAAGAAGGCCUUAGGGUUGUAAACCCCUUUCAGCGGGGAAGAUAAUGACGGUACCCGCAGAAGAAGUCCCGGCUAACUCCGUGCCAGCAGCCGCGGUAAUACGGAGGGGACUAGCGUUGUUCGGAAUUACUGGGCGUAAAGCGCGCGUAGGCGGAUUUGCAAGUCGGGGGUGAAAUCCCGAGGCUCAACCUCGGAACUGCCUUCGAUACUGCAAAUCUCGAGUCCGGAAGAGGUGAGUGGAAUUCCUAGUGUAGAGGUGAAAUUCGU
This 275-nucleotide ribosomal RNA is filed under the name uncultured bacterium. RNAcentral's name for it is "partial 16S ribosomal RNA". It matches the Rfam family "Bacterial small subunit ribosomal RNA", at positions 399 to 691 of the family's 1533-position model. The record is from RNAcentral.